AUUCAGCUGAGGUGUCCUAAACAGGACGAACUGCGCGUUCUGGAU
This 45-nucleotide non-coding RNA is filed under the name Schistosoma margrebowiei. Lineage: Eukaryota; Metazoa; Platyhelminthes; Trematoda; Strigeidida; Schistosomatidae. The record is from RNAcentral.